AUGGUGGAGACGUCGGGCGGGAGGUGGAGGCUGCACCUCCACGGCCAGCGGCGGAGCGCGGCCGCCUUCCUGGCCGCCAACAAGACCCUGCUCGCCGCCGUGUGGGUCGCCGGGUUCGCGCUCGUCUUCCUGUGGCAGAGCGCCUCCGUGUUCGUCGCCGGGGGCGGGGGCGGGCCCCGCCCGGCGCCCGCGCCGUCGCGCCCGGCGCCGCGGCUGCGCCCGAUGGCGUACAACCUGACCGACUUCGGGGGCGUCGGGGACGGGCGGGCGGUGAACACCCGGGCCUUCGAGCGCGCCGUCGAGACCAUCUCGGCGUUCGCGGACAGCGGCGGGGCGCAGCUCAAUGUGCCGCCCGGCCGCUGGCUCACGGGCCCCUUCAACCUCACCAGCCACAUGACGCUGUUCCUCGCCGAGGGCGCCGAGAUCCUCGGCAUUACGGACGAGAAAGUUUGGCCGUUGAUGCCAGCACUGCCAUCUUAUGGGUAUGGGAGGGAGCGCAAAGGACCUCGUUUCGGGAGUCUAAUUCAUGGACAGAAUUUGAAAGAUGUUGUCAUUACAGGAUACAAUGGUAGCAUAAAUGGCCAGGGUGAAGUUUGGUGGUUGAAGCAUCGCAGAAGAAUGCUGAAGAACACAAGGCCUCCACUUGUACAACUGAUGUGGUCUAUGGACAUUGUUAUUACAAAUAUAACGUUGCGGAAUUCACCUUUCUGGCACUUCCACCCAUAUGACUGCACGAAUGUUACUGUUUCAGAUGUUACAAUCUUAGCUCCUAUUUCUGGUGCUCCAAACACAGAUGGCAUAGAUCCAGAUUCUUGUGAGGAUGUCCUAAUUGAGAAUUGCUACAUAUCUGUUGGUGAUGAUGCAAUUGCUAUAAAGAGCGGGUGGGAUCAAUAUGGGAUUGCAUAUGGGCGGCCGUCUUCUAACAUCUUAAUACGCAAUGUGACAGUCCGAUCUUUGGUUAGUGCUGGAAUUUCAAUUGGCAGUGAGAUGUCUGGUGGAGUUGCAAAUGUUACGGUGGAGAAUGUACGCAUCUGGGAUUCAAGGCGAGGCGUGAGAAUAAAGACUGCGAUAGGAAGAGGAGGCUACAUCCGCAAUAUCUCCUACAGCAACAUAACAUUCGACAAUGUUCGUGCUGCAAUUGUGAUAAAGGUUGACUACAAUGAGCAUGCUGAUGAUGGGUAUGACAGAAAUGCCUUCCCAGAUAUUACAGGCAUAUCAUUCAGAAAAAUACAUGGGUGGGGUGUUCGUGUGCCUGUCCGUGCUCAUGGCAGCAAUUAUAUCCCCAUCAAGGAUAUCACCUUUCAAGACAUGUCAGUAGGCAUCAGCUACAAGAAGAAGCAUAUAUUCCAAUGCUCCUACAUAGAAGGGCGUGUUAUCGGGUCAGUGUUUCCAAAACCAUGUGAGAAUUUGGACGUGUACGAUGAGCAAGGGCAGCUUGUCAAGCGUGGGGCAGUGCUCAACAGCACAGAAGUUGAUUAUGAUAUAUGA
Molecule: ribosomal RNA, 1488 nt
Filed under: Triticum aestivum (bread wheat)
Lineage: Eukaryota; Viridiplantae; Streptophyta; Magnoliopsida; Poales; Poaceae
Description: partial small subunit ribosomal RNA
Source: RNAcentral